RNAcentral lists this ribosomal RNA (468 nucleotides) under uncultured bacterium. Its description in RNAcentral is "partial 16S ribosomal RNA". It matches the Rfam family "Bacterial small subunit ribosomal RNA", at positions 28 to 507 of the family's 1533-position model. The record is from RNAcentral.
GACGAACGCUGGCGGCGUGCUUAACACAUGCAAGUCGAACGGAAAGGCCCUGCUUUUGUGGGGUGCUCGAGUGGCGAACGGGUGAGUAACACGUGAGUAACCUGCCCUUGACUUUGGGAUAACUUCAGGAAACUGGGGCUAAUACCGGAUAGGAGCUCCUGCUGCAUGGUGGGGGUUGGAAAGUUUCGGCGGUUGGGGAUGGACUCGCGGCUUAUCAGCUUGUUGGUGGGGUAGUGGCUUACCAAGGCUUUGACGGGUAGCCGGCCUGAGAGGGUGACCGGCCACAUUGGGACUGAGAUACGGCCCAGACUCCUGCGGGAGGCAGCAGUGGGGAAUAUUGCACAAUGGGCGGAAGCCUGAUGCAGCAACGCCGCGUGCGGGAUGACGGCCUUCGGGUUGUAAACCGCUUUCGCCUGUGACGAAGCAUGAGUGACGGUAAUGGGUAAAGAAGCACCGGCUAACUACGUG